Molecule: ribosomal RNA, 253 nt
Filed under: uncultured bacterium
Lineage: Bacteria
Description: partial 16S ribosomal RNA
Rfam family: Bacterial small subunit ribosomal RNA
Source: RNAcentral
UACAGAGGUCCCAAGCGUUGUUCGGAUUCACUGGGCGUAAAGGGUGCGUAGGUGGUGAGAUAAGUCGGGUGUGAAAUCUCCGGGCUUAACCCGGAGGGUGCGCUCGAAACUGUCUCGCUAGAGGGUGGGAGGGGAGACUGGAAUUCUCGGUGUAGCAGUGAAAUGCGUAGAUAUCGAGAGGAACACCGGUGGCGAAGGCGAGUCUCUGGACCACUCCUGACACUGAGGCACGAAAGCCGGGGGAGCAAACAGG